This is a long non-coding RNA of Danaus plexippus (monarch butterfly), 759 nucleotides long. RefSeq lists it as uncharacterized. The record is from RefSeq and is a predicted model, not a curated record. The transcript is spliced from 3 exons. Lineage: Eukaryota; Metazoa; Arthropoda; Insecta; Lepidoptera; Nymphalidae.
UCAUCUUGCCCCGUAAAACCGUUAUUGAUCGGCGCAUGUCUGGUGCAUUCUAUGAUUUUAUUUUGUGCAUCACAUUUUGCGAGACGACUCCGGUGGGACUUGAUUGAAUUUCAUUGUCUUUAAGCUAAAAAUACAAGAAUUUUUCUUACAAUGCCGAGCGCAAUGAAAACCCGAAAGCAGAACAAAAAGAAGCCGCUCAAAAUCAAAUUUUAUUCUAAGAUGAAAAAGUCAUCUAAAUAUUUCAAGAAGCUAUCUUUUAGCAAAUUGUUUAUAAAAAAAAACAAAGAUAUGAAGAUAAUUCGAGGUCUCGGAAUCAUUUAUAUAAAUUACUACUAAUUUUGGCAUAUAAAUGGAUUCAAAGAAGUUAGUGCUAGUGUAGAAUCUAUAUAAAAAGACUUUUUGAAUUUUUACUGUCAUUAUUUCUGAUAAAAUUUGAUUGUUUUUAAUCCUUUUAUAUAUCUUUUACACCAAUUUUGUAACUAGAAGCUUUUCUUUCUGACUUGUUACAGUAAUUAAUUUUACAUUAUUAGCUUAAAACAUAAAGCAAACUAUUCGUUGAGUGCUGUUGUGUUGUAUUACAAAUUAUGUAUUUAUUUUUUUACUUUAUACAUGCAUUUUAACCAGAAAAUAGCACUUCAUAUAUACAGGAUCAAAAUUGAAAGUUAUAUUCAAUCUAUUUUUACAUAAUUCUAUGAUUAAAAGAAAAAGUUUAAAUUGUUCUUCUUAUAUAGAUAUGAAUAAAAGUAACUAGAAUCUGGG